GACGAACGCUGGCGGCGUGCCUAACACAUGCAAGUCGAACGGGGUUGCCCUUCGGGCAACUUAGUGGCGAACGGGUGAGUAACGCGUGAGGAACCUGCCUUCCAGUGGGGGACAACAGUUGGAAACGACUGCUAAUACCGCAUAACACAACGAGACCGCAUGAUCUUGUUGUCAAAGCUUUAUGUGCUGGAAGAUGGCCUCGCGUCUGAUUAGCUAGUUGGUGGGGUAACGGCCUACCAAGGCGACGAUGCGUAGCCGACCUGAGAGGGUGGACGGCCACACUGGGACUGAGACACGGCCCAG
RNAcentral lists this ribosomal RNA (303 nucleotides) under uncultured bacterium. RNAcentral describes it as "bacterial SSU rRNA". It matches the Rfam family "Bacterial small subunit ribosomal RNA", at positions 28 to 334 of the family's 1533-position model. The record is from RNAcentral.